This 587-nucleotide ribosomal RNA is filed under the name uncultured bacterium. Its description in RNAcentral is "bacterial SSU rRNA". It matches the Rfam family "Bacterial small subunit ribosomal RNA", at positions 338 to 916 of the family's 1533-position model. The record is from RNAcentral.
CCUACGGGAGGCAGCAGUAGGGAAUCUUCCGCAAUGGACGAAAGUCUGACGGAGCAACGCCGCGUGAACGAUGAAGGCCUUCGGGUCGUAAAGUUCUGUUGUUAGGGAAGAACAAGUGCUAGUUAAAUAAGCUGACACCUUGACGGUACCUAACCAGAAAGCCACGGCUAACUACGUGCCAGCAGCCGCGGUAAUACGUAGGUGGCAAGCGUUGUCCGGAAUUAUUGGGCGUAAAGCGCGCGCAGGCGGUUUCUUAAGUCUGAUGUGAAAGCCCCCGGCUCAACCGGGGAGGGUCAUUGGAAACUGGGAAACUUGAGUGCAGAAGAGGAAAGUGGAAUUCCAAGUGUAGCGGUGAAAUGCGUAGAGAUUUGGAGGAACACCAGUGGCGAAGGCGACUUUCUGGUCUGUAACUGACGCUGAGGCGCGAAAGCGUGGGGAGCAAACAGGAUUAGAUACCCUGGUAGUCCACGCUGUAAACGAUGAGUGCUAAGUGUUAGAGGGUUUCCGCCCUUUAGUGCUGAAGUUAACGCAUUAAGCACUCCGCCUGGGGAUACGGUCGCAAGACUGAAACUCAAAUGAAUUGACGG